GAUGAACGCUGGUGGCGUGCCUAAUACAUGCAAGUCGAGCGAACGGACGAGAAGCUUGCUUCUCUGAUGUUAGCGGCGGACGGGUGAGUAACACGUGGAUAACCUACCUAUAAGACUGGGAUAACUUCGGGAAACCGGAGCUAAUACCGGAUAAUAUUUUGAACCGCAUGGUUCAAAAGUGAAAGACGGUCUUGCUGUCACUUAUAGAUGGAUCCGCGCUGCAUUAGCUAGUUGGUAAGGUAACGGCUUACCAAGGCAACGAUGCAUAGCCGACCUGAGAGGGUGAUCGGCCACACUGGAACUGAGACACGGUCCAGACUCCUACGGGAGGCAGCAGUAGGGAAUCUUCCGCAAUGGGCGAAAGCCUGACGGAGCAACGCCGCGUGAGUGAUGAAGGUCUUCGGAUCGUAAAACUCUGUUAUUAGGGAAGAACAUAUGUGUAAGUAACUGUGCACAUCUUGACGGUACCCAAUCAGAAAGCCACGGCUAACUACGUG
Molecule: ribosomal RNA, 497 nt
Filed under: uncultured bacterium
Lineage: Bacteria
Description: partial 16S ribosomal RNA
Rfam family: Bacterial small subunit ribosomal RNA
Source: RNAcentral